UCAAUUCAAUCCAAACCAAUCCACACCGUUUUUCUGUUCGAUUCUUGAUCUUAAUUCGUAGAGCGUAGAACGAACAGUAGAACUUACAGCACGAUUACAAAGUCUUUAUGCGCUUCAACAUGAUGUCAUGGCUAAGAAAGCCGAUCAAAGGCGUCCUAAUGGACAUCACUGGCGUUCUGUAUGAAAGCGGUCAGAAGAAACCAAUACAGGGAUCGGUAGAAGCUGUAAAGAUGCUGCGAGACGCUAAAAUACCAUUUCGAUUUGUCACAAACGAAACAACGAGAGCAGAGUUGGAGCUUCUGGAGUUGCUUCACCGUCUUGGGUUUGAGAUAGCCGAAAAUGAAAUUUUAUCGUGCGUCCCUGCAGCUUUGAGGCUCAUCGAAGAAAUGGAGUAUCGUCCUUACCUGCUGGUACAUCCUAAUAUUUUACCAGAAUUUGAAAAUUGUAACACGACCAAGCCCAACUGUGUUGUACUUGGCGACGCUGGUGAAAAUUUUUCCUACGAGAACUUGAACAGCGCCUUCGAAGUGCUGGUUGAUAACCCUGAUGCUGUCCUCAUCACCUUAGGAAAGGGCAAAUAUUACAGGGAACAAGGUGAACUCGUUUUGGAUGUUGGGGCAUAUGCAGCAGCCCUUGAAUACGCCUGCGAUCGUCGAGCGAUUGUCAUCGGCAAGCCGGGAGAAAAAUUCUUCAAAAUGGCAGUGAAUGACCUGAAAUUGCGUACCGAGGAGGUGGUGAUGAUUGGAGACGACGUCGUCUGCGAUGUUGGUGGCGCCAUGAGUGCUGGGAUACGUGGUGUUCUUGUCAAAACAGGAAAAUUUCGGUGGUAUAACGGCUGCUGCUAAGGAUGGUUUUCUUCCAAGUUUACGAACUGCCGUGAAGGAGGAGUACUGCCGAAGAGAUUUCAAAAGAAUCUUCCACUACCUGGGGAGCAGUUGUUCAGAAAACAAAAAAUGCGCGCCACAGUAAUCAUUCUUGCGUUGUGCCUUUCCAAGGGAGUUUUCGGUGUUCUCAACUGCCCCCUAAAAAUCACCCUUGGGUCGUGCAUCGCGAUGAUGUUCUACAAAUCCUGCAAGUCAGAUGAAGACUGCGUGUACCUCUGUUGCGAGUACAAAUGCAAGAAUUUCUGCUCCGAAAACUACUAAAAUGACCACAGGUUCGACGUGCGAAUAAAAUUUUUAAAAAUUG
Ornithodoros turicata is the source of this 1188-nucleotide RNA transcript. It is a transcript of the gene named phospholysine phosphohistidine inorganic pyrophosphate phosphatase-like, with no coding region annotated. Lineage: Eukaryota; Metazoa; Arthropoda; Arachnida; Ixodida; Argasidae. The transcript is spliced from 9 exons. The record is from RefSeq and is a predicted model, not a curated record.